CGUAGGGUGCGAGCGUUAAUCGGAAUUACUGGGCGUAAAGCGUGCGCAGGCGGUUUUGUAAGACAGAUGUGAAAUCCCCGGGCUCAACCUGGGACCUGCAUUUGUGACUGCAAGGCUAGAGUACGGUAGAGGGGGAUGGAAUUCCGCGUGUAGCAGUGAAAUGCGUAGAUAUGCGGAGGAACACCGAUGGCGAAGGCAAUCCCCUGGACCUGUACUGACGCUCAUGCACGAAAGCGUGGGGAGCAAACAGGAUUAGAUACCCUGGUAGUCCACGCCCUAAACGAUGUCAGCUGGUUGUUGGGUCUUUACUGACUCAGUAACGAAGCUAACGCGUGAAGUUGACCGCCUGGGGAGUACGGCCGCAAGGUUG
Molecule: ribosomal RNA, 370 nt
Filed under: uncultured organism
Description: bacterial SSU rRNA
Rfam family: Bacterial small subunit ribosomal RNA
Source: RNAcentral